GCCUGGUUGGCUCAGUUGGUUAGAGCGUUAGUCUCAUAAUCUGAAGAUCACCAGUUCGACCCUGGUACCGGGCA
Transfer RNA from Yarrowia lipolytica, 74 nucleotides. It matches the Rfam family "tRNA". Rfam says of the family: Transfer RNA (tRNA) molecules are approximately 80 nucleotides in length. The record is from Rfam. NCBI's taxonomy places the organism in Eukaryota, Fungi, Ascomycota, Dipodascomycetes, Dipodascales.